Molecule: long non-coding RNA, 2103 nt
Organism: Suricata suricatta (meerkat)
Lineage: Eukaryota; Metazoa; Chordata; Mammalia; Carnivora; Herpestidae
Exons: 4
Source: RefSeq, a predicted model, not a curated record
CCUCUUACUUCUUGAAGUUCUUCGGGGGCAGGAUGUUGCCCUUGGCGUCGAGGGGAGGUGCCCUUGCUUCACUCCUCAGCUUGAGUUUCUCCAGCUCUCUCAGUUCCAGCACCGUCCUGGCAGUCACCUGUUUCUUCCUGUGGCGGUCCGUGAAGAUGGGAGUACAGCGCAUGAAGAAGCAGCCGCAGAGGCAGCAAGCUACCGGCCUCCUCGGACCCCGGACUCUCAUCAGGACACGGAUGGCCUGCCGGAAGCCGUCUCUCCGCGCCUGCCCUGCCAUCAGAAGUUAUGUCUGCUCCGUAGGAUUCCCCAGCUUUCGCUCCCUCUCCGUCUGGUCUGUUAGGGUUUGAUUUCCCUGCUCUCCACUCUUUAGGACACAUCCUCUGCGCUGUGGCUCCCCCGCGCUCCUGCGAGGAGCUGGCGCUCCUAACAGGGCACAUCAGGUCCGGGAAACUGGGGGGUGGGGGGUUGUGCCUGAUGCCGGGCAACGCAUAGUACCUGGCAACACAUAGAAGGAAACUCGUUCUCUGUAGAGAAUGCAGCCCAGGUGCUCUUCUCUCCCGACUCGACCUGUUACUCGUUUCUCUGUCAUUGCUGCAUUCCCCUCACUUCUCAUCCAAAUACAAGCAGCUCCUAGCAGUGAGAGUGAGGAGUCAGAAAUUCUUGGGGAGCAUCAGGUGGCACAGAGACCAGUCACCAGGCCCUUGCUGCUUGCAGAGGGCCCAGUGGUGGGCACAGCACAACGUCUGCCUUGGCAUAAGCAGGCAAAGUGGAGCUAGAGGAGCGGAUGGUUCCUGCCCGCCGUCCUCACUCGGAGGGCGUGGAUUGCCCAGCUGCAUGAGCUCCUGGAAGGGUGGAUGGCGUGGGUAGCAAAGGCUGGAUUUCUUCCUCCUUGAUGGACUCAACUGGAAGCAGAGGAGACAACCUUUCUCCAAGCAGGAAUUUGUCCUCUUGCACAGGCCCCGCGGCGGGCAGAGGGGCUACCCCAUCAUCAGCUAGCAGCACCUGCAAAGGAAGCCGGGAUGUGGUGAGACGGAGCUCUCCAGGCUUUGAGAUUCAACCCGGUUACCAGGCAGGACACAAGAUCAUGGCUAAAGCAAGCCACAUGCUGGUGCUGCUCCUCUUUUUUUGUCUUUUUAAAGUCUUACAAACUAUUAAAUAGAAUAUAGGAUGAAGGCAGUAGUUCAAUUCUGGGGGAGGGGGGGUAAAAGAGCAUUUAAUAUGGUGCUGGUAUAAUUAGUACCCAUCGGAGAGAAAAUAAAAUUGGAUGCCUGUUUCAUACCAUGUACAAAGACUUAAAUAGAAAAAGUAAAACCAUACGAAUCCUGAAAGAGAAUCUAGGAGACUACAUGUACAAUCUGAGGGUGGGUGCGACCUUCUUAAGCAAGACUGGAAACCCAGAAGCUGUAAAAGAGAAGAGAGACACAUUUGACUACAUAAAAAAUUAAAAUCUUACUGUGGCGAGAGAUUCCAAAAACAAAGAAACAAACCAUAGAAGUAAAAGAAAUAUCUUCAGCAUAAAAGACUGAAGUUAAUAUUUUAAUAACAAAGAACUUUCACAUAUUAUCAAAACCCCCCAGAAAGAUGGGGCAAGCCCAUAAAUAAGCAUCUGAUAGUGAACAAUUCCAUGUGACCAAACAUAACAAGAAGGUACUCACACUUACUGAUAAGCAAAGAAAGAUACAAUGAAACAAAGAGAUAUCAUUUAUAUAUAAUAGAUGGGCAAAUAUUUAAAAGACUAUACCAAUUGCUGGCAAAGAUAUAGGUCUUAUCAUAUAUUGCUGAUAGAAAUGUAAAUUAUUAUAUAUUUUCUUGGAAACCAAUAUCUAGCAAUAUUUAGUAAAAUUGGAAACACAUUUCCACUCAGCAACCUCAUGUCUGGUUUUCUAUCCCACAGAAAUAAAAAGCACUUGUAAGAAAGAUACUUGCAAAGAUACUUAAUGCAGUGUUGUUUGAGGGCAAAAAAACUAGAGGCAAAAUGUACUCCUAAAAGUGGAAUGGCUGGAAAAUUUAUGGCAUGGCCACACAGUGGAAUAUUAUGUGUCCAUUAAAAAAACGGCAAUGCCACGUGAAUUGGAAGAAUUUUCACGUGGCAGAAAAGUG